GGACAUUGCAUUGCCCGUACUUUAAGCAAUGUUGCAUAUGAUUUGUUGAGCUCAGCACAAGGCAUUGUCAAUAAAAUCCGGGAAAGUGUGAAAUAUGUGAAGACUUCAGAAUCACAUGAGGAUAAAUUCCUGGAUCUUAAGGAACACCUUCAGGUUCCCAGUGAAAAGAGUCUUUUUAUUGAUGACCAAACCAAAUGGAAUACAACAUAUCAAAUGUUGGUUGCAGCUUCUGAACUGAAGGAAGUGUUUUCCUGUUUAGACACUUCUGAUCCUGAUUACAAAGGAGCCCCAUCUAUUCCAGACUGGAAACUUGUUGAGAUCCUCUGCACAUACUUGAAGCCCCUUUAUGAUGCAGCAAACAUUCUUAUGACAACAACUUAUCCCACUGCUAUUACAUUCUUUCAUGAAGUUUGGAAAUUACAUUUUGAUCUUUCUCGAGCUGUUAUGAAUGAGGAUCCCUUCAUUAGCGACCUUACUAAACCCAUGUACGAAAAGAUCGAUAAGUACUGGAGAGAUUGUAGUCUGGCUUUGGUGAUUGCUGUUGUUAUGGAUCCUCGUUUCAAGAUGAAGCUUGUUGAGUUCAGUUUCACUAAAAUUUACGGUGAGGAUGCUCAUGUGUAUGUCAAGAUUGUUGAUGACGGAAUUCAUGAGCUGUUUCAUGAGUAUGCAACCCUUCCUCUGCCACUAACACCGGCAUAUGCAGAAGAAGGAAAUGCUGGAAGCAGUAUGAAGAUGGAAGGAUCCUCUGGAGGAACUUUGUUGUCGGAUAAUGGUCUUACAGACUUUGAUGCCUACAUCAUGGAAACUUCUACCCAUCAGACAAAGUCUGAAUUGGAUCAGUAUCUGGAAGAAUCUCUAUUGCCACGAGUUCCAGACUUUGAUGUAUUAGGUUGGUGGAAGCUAAACAAACUUAAAUACCCCACACUUUCCAAGAUGGCCCGAGAUAUAUUGUCUAUUCCAGUUUCUACCGUUCCUUCUGACUCUAUCUUUGAUAAAAAGAGCAAAGAGAUGGAUCAGUAUCGAAGUUCCUUGCGUCCAGAGACAGUGGAGGCACUUGUGUGUGCCAAAGACUGGAUGCAGUAUGGUGCACCCGAAUCUUUGACUGCGCUUGUGAAAAUGGAAUUCUAGAUUUCAUGUUGUUGUACACUUGUACCCAGUAUGUUGGUAGGUUCUACUGUAUUUUACUUUUAGUUUUCUUUUAUGCGUUAUCUUGUAACAUAAGAGUGAUUAUUUUCGUUUAUUCGACUUGAAUAUUAAACUAUUAUGUAGCUUUUCUCUUAGAUGCUAGAACUAGUAAAUAGAUCCUAUUUUUCCCUAAUACAAGUAGUCCUUGAUGUGCAGCUCAAUCUGAUUUGUUCCAUCAGGAAUCAGCGUAAAUUUGAGGUGGCAGCGUAAAAGUUUGUUAGCGCUGCUAAUAUAGAAUUCACAUUCAGUUCAUCUCUUUUCUGAUUGUGAUUUUGCACACUUUUGAUUUGCCAUUGGUUUUUUUAUUUGGUGAUUUUACUGGGACUGCUCUCGUGGGGUGAAGUACUGUUUAGGAAAAACCAUGUCUUUGGCAAUGCUACUUUAUCAUUUUUAUUCACAUAUGUGGAUGGAGUAGUGCCAUGUUUCCAAUGAAUGUUUUUCACAUGGAAGGAGUUGUUCACUUACUUAAUUGCUUAAGCAAAAGUUUAGGACAAGAAUUCUCUACAUUUGAGGAGGGAAAGUUAUCUACUUUCUAUCUAGCUCUCUCAUCUUUUCCCUUCAUAUUACUCUACAUUUUUUUCUCCUUUUUAAGCAUAAAAAGUUUCGGCGUUUAUCAUACAUGACAAUAAGAUAAAUUUACUUACUCCCUCCGUUUCAAAAUGAGUGUCACUUUAGCCAAAAAAAAUUGUUUCAAAAUGAAUGUCACUUUACAUUUUCAAUACAACUUUAAUUUUUUUCUCCCAACUUUACCCUCAAUAAAUACUCCAACUUUUCUCUCACACAAUUUUCAAUGUAACUUUAAGUUUGUCUUUUUCUUGGGCAGUUUAGUAAAAGUGUUAUGUCCAAUUAUUAUUUCAUUUCAUUCCUUAAUUUGUGUGCAAUUGGCUAAAACGACACUCAUUUUGAAACGGAGGGAGUACUUGAUAUCAACUACUACCUCCGUCCCUAAAUAUAGGAGUCUUUUGUCAAAAUUAUGGAGAUUAAAAAAGUUGGUUGUAGUAUUAAAUUUGUAUAUAGAUAGUUAAUUUAUGUUUUCAACAUAAUAUUUAUUCUUGAUUGAAAAAAAGAUGCAAAAUAAAUAAGGGUAUGUUAGUAAAAAAAUAAUUAAUGUACUUGAAAAUACCAAAGGAAUCUUUUGGAAUAAUUUUUUUUCUCAAAAGGGUCUUAUAAUUGGAUACGGAGAUAAGUAACUUUAAUAUCAAUUUGUUUAGUUGUAAUCAUUUUCCACUAUUUUCCAUUGUGGUAUUUCGAUUACUGUGUUUAUACUUCAUUGAAAACCAUGUUUAUGAGUUUCGUUUUUGUUUCUUUAUGACAUGAAUAUGCAUUUGUCAAAGUUGUGUUCAUUACUUUUUGAAAAUUAUAUUUCAGUUGAAAUCAUUUUCCACGAAUUUAUGAGUUUUUUUUUUUUUUUUUUAUGACAUGAAUAUGUAUUUGUAUAUAUCUGUAAUAGUUUUCAAAUAAUUUACAUUUAGUUUUAUAACAUACGGAGUACAGGUUAAGAGUUAAGACUAUAUUAAAAAAAACAUACAGGUUAAAAUAAAGGCUUAAUACGGUGCCAGUGUUGAUUUCAUUCUAGAAUGGCAUUCUUAUCUCUUUAGAUUAAAAAAGAAUGAUUUUUCCAGCUACGCAGGCAUGUUAAUACUGAUUCCUUUGCUAAGAACAACCUUACAUGUAAGGUUCAUGAUCCUUUAAGAUCACAUUGUCAUCUGUUUAACUUCUCUAAUCAAACUUAUGGAGAAUUUCCACAUGGGAGCAGUUUUUCAACUUCAAGGAGCCCAAUUUGUUUUCAUAUACGAGGACCAUAAGACCAAGUGCAAUGGCAUGUUGAAUUUGCCAUUCAACAUGUUGAACCAUUGUAGGGGGGUGUUGAAAUGGGAAAAAACUGAGUUGGAUGAGAGAGGUGUUGAAUAAGUUCAACAUGUUUAAAGCCUGGCCUACAGAGACGCGUGGCGCGCUUGGAUUGCUCAAAACAGGCGCGUGAGAUACAAGAGAAAUGGAUAAUGUUGUGACACUUGACAUGUUUUGAUUGACUGCUUAGAUUUUUAUCUUCUUAAUAAUUUAGACUCAAUUACUCCCUCCGUCCCUAAUUAUAAGACCCUUUUGAGAUUUUUUUUUGUCCCUUUUUAUAAGACCCCUUUGUUAUUUUCAACUACAUUAAUUAUUUCUUUACAUACAUGCCCCUAUUUAUUAUACAUUUUUUUCUUCAAUCAACAAUAAAUAACAUGUUGAAAACAUAAACUAACCUUCUUUCUUAAAGGAUAAAAUUGUAAAAACAAUAGUGAUUACAAACAACUUUAAUACAAAUAUUCACUAUCUUAAUUCCCGUGAUUUUGGCAAAAGGGUCUUAUAUAUAGGGACGGAGGAAGUAUUUCAUUGCAAAUAAUUUUUUAUUUUUUUUUACCAAAAUUCGUAAUUUUUUUUUCUCUCUAUAAAUAGAGACUUGGAUCAUUUGAUUUGGACACAGAAAAAAAAUCAAGUUUUUCAUUCUCUUAAUCUUAUUAUUAGCUUUGUAUUAGCUUUUCUUUUGAAGUUUUAGUAUUUAUUUAGUGAAAUGGAUCACACUAACAAUCAAUUCAACACCCAAAAUUCUUCUGAUUACUCUUUUAGCUACCAAAAUCCCAACAAUUAUCAACACCCAAAUCAAUUUACCAACCAACAUCCUCAAAAUCCAAAUCAAUUCCCCAACCAACAUCCUCAAAACAUGUCUAAUUUUGGUUUUACCUCAAAUUUCAAUCACCUAUCCUCUGUUCCAAACAACUUUAAUCCAUAUUUUAGAUCUAUGAUGGGAUAUCCAUCUCAAACACCCCCAUUUAAUGGUUAUAUGCCAAUGGUGAAUGAAAAUUUUCAGAGUGUUGGUGAAUAUCCUGAAUUUUCAUCACAAAUAAAUCGUGGUGGAAUGACAAGAGAUAAUGAAGUCGCUUCAACUCCAGAGGAUACAACUCCUAAGAGCAAGAAAAACCACCAACCAUCAUGGAACACUGAACAAAAUUUGGUGUUAAUUAGUGGGUGGAUAAAAUAUGGAACAUGCAGUGUUGUCGGGAGAAACCAGACAAGUGAAGCAUAUUGGGGUAAAAUUGCUGAGUAUUGUAAUGAGCAUUGCUCAUUCGAUUCUCCGUGCGAUGUAGUUGCAUGCCGAAACCAUUUUAAUUAUAUUGGAGUGCUUACGUAGAUUCUGUAAAGGAAUCAUACGAUUGUAUGAGCAAGUGUACCUGAGAGCACCAAACCAAGAUGACCUUCAAAGAAUACCACAUGUUAGUGAAAUGUGGGGGUUCUCAGGGAUGAUCGAGAGUAUUGACUGCAUGCACUGGGAGUGGAAAAAUUGUCCUAAAGCAUGGGAAGGUCAAUUCACCAGGGGGGAUAAGGGAACCACCACAGUUAUUCUUGAAGCAGUUGCAUCUCAUGAUCUAUGGAUCUGGCAUGCCUUUUUUGGAUGUCCAGGAACGUUGAAUGAUAUCAAUGUUCUAGACCCGUCACCGAUGUUUGAUGAUGUGGAAUAGGGAAAGGCUCCACGGGUGAAUUUCUUUGUGAAUCAACGUCCCUAUAAUAUGGUAUACUAUCUAGCUGAUGGUAUCUACCCUUCUUAUCCAACUUUCGUCAAAUCAAUUAGACUUCCUCAAAGUGAACCCGAUAAGUUAUUUGCAAAACAUCAGGAGGCAUGUCGGAAGGACAUCGAACGUGCUUUUGGAGUGCUUCAAGCUCGAUUUAAAAUCAUCCGUGAACCAGCUCGCUUGUGGGACAUAGCCGAUUUGGGUAUCAUCAUGAGGUCAUGCGUCAUAUUACAUAAUAUGAUUGUCGAGGAUGAACGAGAUACAUAUGCUCAACGUUGGACCGAUUUUGAGCAAUCUGAGGGAAGUGGAUCUAGUACGCCGCAACCAUACUCGACCGAGGUGUUACCCACUUUUGCAAAUCAUGUGCGUGCUAGAUCCGAGUUGCGUGAUCCACAUGUUCAUCACAAAUUGCAAGCAGAUCUAGUGAAGCACAUAUGGACAAAGUUUGAAAUGUUUCGUGAUUGAAGAUGAUCUGUAUCGUACUAAAUAAAUUACUUGUGUGUUGUGUGCUUUUUUGUUAUCUUGCAUUUUAAGCUAUUUGUGUGACCCUACUUAGUUUGUUGUAUUGCAUUUUAUUUAAGUUAAGAAAAUAAAAAUAAAAUUUUUAAAUAAAUUUUGUUUUUACAAAAAAAAAAAAAAUGUUAAGUGUUUCUUCAUUUUAAUUUAAUUAUAAUCGAUAAUUGUAAUUUUAUGUAAUUAUAAAAACAAAAAUAUAAAAUUAAAUAAGAAUAAGAAAUAAAAGGUGGUGGGGUAAGGUGUUGAAUGAAAAAACCAUUGGAGAGGUAAAAAUUGAAUGAGUGUUGAAUUAAGAGAGAGAAAAUGAUGUGGAGUGUUGGGAAUUGAAAAAAUGGGUGUCGAGGAUUGUUGAAUAUUUGUGACCAUUGUAAAUGGUCUAAGUUGGAAGCACUACACUUUUUUUUUUUUUUUUAAGAAAAGUAAAAUAACCAUCCAUUAGAAAUAUUAAAACAAUAGUCUAAUAACAAAGUAUUUCUGCAAAAUUAAAAAUCGAAAGAUGGGUACAAAAGAAAAACACAGUAAAACUGCAAAAUUCUUGUAAUUUUCCACCUAAAACAGAGAUGUUCCUUUUCCCUUCUUGUCACCACCAAUCUCAAAGUGCUUACACCUCUUAAUUGCGUGUUGUGAAACAUGUUUGCAACCUUGACACUGAAGCCUCAACACAAUUUUCUUAGUAGUUUUUGCCUUUUUGUGAAAGACAGGUUUGGUCUGUCCACCAUAACCAGAUUGUUUACGGUCAUAACGACGUUUUCCCUGAGCAGCGAUGGAAUCCUUACCCUUUUUGUAUUGGGUGACUUUGUGUAAGGUGUGCUUCUUGCACUCCUUGCUUUUGCAGUAGGUUUUCUUUGUCUUUGGAACGUUCACCAUUGUUGCAAGGUGGUUUGAGAUCGGCUCGGCUGGGCAAACGAAGCAAGCACUACACUUUCAUGACAGCAAUAGUACAGAACCUAUUGUAUUAAAUUUUGUAUUUUUUUUUUUUUUUGGGUACAAAAUUUUGUAUUUUUCUUGUGGUGGCCCGAGUUCAAACUUCGAACAUUACAUAUAUUAUGCAUUGUCGAUAUCAACUAAGCUAAGUUCACAAGAACUAAAUUUUAUAUUUUAAAUUAAUUAUAAAUUUGUUAACUUUUUCAAUAAUUCAAACAUAUUAGUUCACAUAAAUAUUCACAUAUUUGCGUGUAGAGGGAUGUGAUUGAUAACUGUCAAAAUAACCUAUUUUUACUUAUAUAAUUUAUGGCAAUUAUUGACUUGACAAUAAACCCAACGAGAAUUCUUCAAUUCAAAGUAAAUAUUAGAUAGUCAGCUCAUGGGUGGUAAUUUUAAUUUAGGGGUGUUCAAAUCCAAACUGAUCUAAAAUAAAAUAGCAAAUUGAUAAAAAAAAAAAGAUCAAAAACUGCAAAAUUCGAAUAUUUUUGGAAGUGUUUAGUUUUUUUUUUAGGGACGAAUCGUUCAAAUGUUGUUUUGUAAAAACCACUAAGAUUGGAUUGGAUUUCAGAUCAUUUUUUCAAAACUGAAUCGAACCGCAAAAGUAAAUUUUUAGUGCUUAUUUAUUAUUGGGUUAAUUAUGUUUAAGGUUCCUACAAAUAAGCAAGCUUCCAACAUUGGUCCCUAUUUAAAUUUUAUUAAAUUUUUCAUCCCCAACGUUUUUUCCAUUUUUAAGUUUGGUCCUUGCCGUCAAACUGUGCAGACUAGGCUAACAGAAUGCUGACCCAGGCAUGCCACAUGGACAUUUCAAGUGGCAUGGCUACCAUGUGGUAAAUGACAUCAUAUGUUUUUGGUCUCAAUAAAAUUAUGACAUUUUAAGUUUAGUCCUUACUUAAUUUUAAUAGUGUUUUUAGUCCAUAUAAAAAAUUAUGCACUCAGUUUUAGUCAUUACUAAAUCUAAAUUUGUUUAAUCAUGUUUAAACUUUUAAGAUUUUGAACAAUUUUUUGCACAAGUAGUACCAGAGAGAAACAGUAACGCAUAUCUGCUUUUUUUUUUUUUCCGGCAAAUUCAGGGAAUGCCAGAAAUAUUUGUAGGGUGAAAUAUUUUAUGGAUCUUGAAGAAUAAAAAGGAAUGAAGGAUAGUGAUAGGCUUUGACAAAAAAAUUAUGGGAAAAUUUGUAACUAUCCUUAAACUCUUAAAAUUAUCAACGAUUUUUUUUUAGACAAGUUUAGAACAUUACAAAAAGUUUGUUUACUAAAAUUUUGAAUUUUCUUAAUAUUUGUGCAAAAAAUUGUUCAAAAUCUUAAAAGUUUAAGCAUAAUUAAACAAAUUUAGAUUCAGUAGCGACUAAAACUGAGUGCAUAAUUUUUUUAAAUGGACUAAAAACACUAUUAAAAUUAAGUAAGGACUAAACUUAAAAGAUCCCAAUUUUAUAGGGACCAAAAACAUAUGAUGUCAUUUACCGCAUGGCAGCCAUGUCACUUGAAAUGUCCAUGUGACAUUUCUGGGUCAGCAUUCUGUUAGCCUAGUCAACACAGUUUGACGGCAAGGACCAAACUUACAAACGGAUAAAAACGUUGGGAUGAAAAAUUUAAUAAAAUUUAAAUAGGGACCAAUGUUGGAAGGCCACUUAUUUGUAGGGACCUUCACACCCUAUAUAUUUUUUGUUACACCCAAUUUUUUUAAUUUUUUUUAUAAUACCGAAAUUGUCCUUUUAUAUAAAUUUUCUUAAAAUCUUGAUUUCAUUCAUGGUCACUCUAAAAUUUCACUCUCUUUCACCCACCAACGAUCAAACAAUUUUGAUGUUCAAUUAAUCUCUAUGGAAGAUUAAAGAGUGAAUCAAAACAUCUUUCAUUCAUACUCGAUUACACAUAAAUAAGUGAAUUUUUUCUUCUUUUUCAAUAACGCUGGUUUUAAUUUUCUUCUUCUUGUUCAACUGCACUGUACGACAGUUUCAGUUUUACAUUGUUGAGGUUAACUUAAAUUCAGUUUAAGUAGGUGCAUGUAAACUCAGUUUACAUAAUCUACUUAAACUUAGUUUACAUAACCUACUUAAACUGAGUUUAAGUAUGUACACUUAAACUUAGUUUACAUGACCUACUUAAAAUAAGUUUACAUGUACAUACUUAAACUGAGAUUACGUAGAAUCAUUGAACAAAGUUGAACUUUUAAAUGUACACUUAAACUCGGUUUAUAUGACUUACUUAAUCUUAGUUUAAUUUUGUACACUUAAACUCAGUUUACAUGACCUACUGAAACUAAGUUUACAUGACCUACUUAAACUGAAGAGGGAUUUUAGGGUGUAACCAAGAAAAAAGGCAGAUGCAUUUUGAAAAUUAAAUUUUUUGAAAGGGUAAUUUUGUCAUUUUUAGGUGCAACCAGAAUUAAACAGGAUGUAAUUAGAAAAACUCACAUAAUUAACCCUUUAUUAUUUUAUUUGUAUCAUAUAGUGCAUUAAUAUAUUGCUUGUUGGUAUUCAAUCUUAUAUAUUGCAUUAAUUUAAUCUAUAUUAUUACUACUUCGUAUGUUUCAAAUAUAAUCGAUUAUUUUCAUUGUGUAAUGUUAAUUUUUUAAUAAAUUUAUGUUAUAUUUUGCAUCAAACCUAUUAUUUUAUUGUGUAUGUGUAAUAUUAAUAUUAAUAUUAAUAAAAAAAAUUAGAUGUUGCACUUUUGAUAUCCAAAAAUUGAUCCAAAUUAAACCGCAUAUAUUUGGAUCGAAUCGAAUUUUUUUAGAAUAAUCAUUCCAACUGAACCCCGUAUGAUUUUAUUUUGAAUCGAUUUUGUCUCAAAACUGAUCCAAACUAGACCGCGAACACCCCUGUAUUUCAUGCACUAUCAUUUUUUUCUAAACUAGAAAGGAAAAAAAAAAAAACAUUCUUGGCAAUGUGCAUAUCAAAAAGUAAAAGAUAAAAGAAAAUGCAACAAAUCAUUACCCCAUUCCACAUACUUUUCUAGGUAGCAAACAACAAACCAUCAAAAUCCGCUCCCGCUGUUGGUUCCUUAAACAUAAAAUAAAAUCCGCUGUUGGUAAAAGAAAAGAUAGCGAAUCAUUACUCCAUUCCACUCUUUAACAUCACAAUUUACUAACUAGAAAGAACUUUCAUGCAAAUAUUCCAAUUGUAGAUAACGACAUGCAUGGAUCUAAAUUGGUAAGUUUAUUCAAAAUUGAUCAGUUUAUCGCUCGCUAUCCAUGAAUGCCCCUGACAUUGUAUGGCUUUAACUAGUGAGAUCACUAUAUCUCCUACAAAUCAAUUUUCCUCUUCCAAUUACUUAUCAGUCGAUAUUAUAACUUAUCACUAUAUCACUAUAGUAUCGUAGGUUCGGAGACAAACAAAUAAGGUAGAUCAUAGUAUUGUUAGAGCAUCUUUAUUUCAUUCUAGUCUCCAUAUUUUUUAUGAUGUAUCAAUUGCUUUGUAUUCAUCCAUUGAGUUUUAAUGAAAAUGGUUUGGAUAUUUUUUAAUACAUUUUAAUGGAUUGUAAAUGAAUUAAUAGACUAUAUUAUUGAUCAAUUUUUACAAUCCAGUCCAAAUUCAACCAUUUUGGUAUAUGCUGGUGGAUGUGGUUGUCUUAUUAGUGGUAAUUGUAUAUGUAAUUUUUUAAAUUAUUGAACACUCUAUUAUAGUAGUGUCUAUAUAGGAGUUACGAUCUUCUCCAUUUAUAAAAUAUAGAAGCUUUUGAGAGUAUUUAAAAGUUUCAAAUUUGGUUUAAGAUAGAUGUUUUUCGGUGGUGCCAGUUCAAAUGGAUUCUGAAUUGCUCAACCAUGCCAUUCAAGGUGAUAAGAAAAGUAUCUAAAUGAGCAAUAAAAUUCUAAUUUUUUAAAACCAAAAAUAUGAAUUUAGUGAACAUAAAUAAAUCGGACAAAAUUGUAGGUGAAGACAGGAGAAGAUGAAAUACAAUCCUACUUGUUUUCCUUUUUUUCUUUUUCUUUUUUUUUUUUAGAGAAAUCCUACUAGUUUUCCUGGUAGGCCAUUUAUAUUAUGUUUGUUACGCAUUUUUUUUAAAAGUAUCUUCAUCUUCUCACAGAUCUACACGUGGUGUACAAAUACAUGAUAUGUACUAUGAUUUUCACCGAGACGGAUAUAAUAUCUUUCAAGUCUUCAACACAUCCAAAUUGUCCGUGGGAGUUAAAAAAACUUUAACCGUUUUCUUGAAAGUAGAGUAUCAAACACGGUCUUCAUAUUGAGGUGACACCAGAAUUAACAUUUGAAGCUUCAACAUGAACGGAUGCUUCAUCAAUAUUUGGAUCUGCAUCAAUCAAAGCUUCAACCUUACAGUUUCAAAUCGCCGAAAGAAAUGACAAAAGUGACUCAACCAGAUCAUCAUCCGCAUUAUCAAUCAUAACUCUAAAUAAUUAACAUAACUUUGCAAUUAAUAAUUAAUUAAAAUGACAUGUGGAUGAUAUUUUAUUAUUCUCAGAUUAUUCAUAAUGAUGGUGAUGUAUCAUUUAUAUUUAGAUCAAUGGUUGAAAAUAAUAGGUUAUAUCUCUGUGUUCCCUCCAACUGCUAUCAUUGUUAUAUCGAAUUGAUUAAAUGUUAUUGAAUUGUGAAGAAUCAUUGAAUGUUGUUGCCUAUGACCUAAUAUUUUUGGUGAAUCGUUUGUACUGCUUCUGAAAUUGUGGUUAUGAAUUACAUGUCAAACAAACCUAUUUUUGGCUCGGCAGAGAUUGUAAUCACCACUCCUACAUUGUUGCCAAAAACAAUAGUUAACUACCGUUGUUAAAGCGGCACUAAUUAUAAGUGACGAACGACAAUUAAUUGUCAUUAAGAGUAAUAACAUCAUUUUGAGGUGUGGGAGAGCAAUUUUUGAAAUGGGAAGAGUAAUAUUCAAUAAAAGCACAAAAAUAAAAGAUUGAAGCUAUAUAAAACUGAAUAAAUUUUCUAAAAAAAAAUGGAAUAAAUAUUGGACCUUUUAUGAAUCCAAAUUAGAAUUAAAAAAAAAAAAAAAAAAAAAAGAGUGAAAAAACAUAAAUUAAAUCGGGGACAUGUAGCAUUUGUGAUCUUUAUCAUUGUAAAUAAGUCAAAAUCAAAACACAAACUUAACACAAUGCAAAUUAGAAUUAAAAAAAAAAAAAAAAAAAAAAAGUAUCGAACUAGCAUACAGUAGCGCGUCUCUCAAAUUUGGUCCAAUUAACACCGGAUUCGUUUCAAAGCCCAAUUUCUCUUUCUCUCUCUCUGAAAAGCCCUGGAUCUUAUCGGGUUCGUUUCAAGCCCAAUCUCUCUCUCUCUCUCUCUCUCUCUCUCUCUCUCUCUCGGAAAACCCUAGAUCUCGCUUCCGGCACCGCCGCAGCACGGUUCCAAGCUUCCGCUUCCGGCACUGCCGUGCCGCGUUUCGACAUUCAGAUUCUGUUUACUUAUAUCUGGUAUAUCUCCAACACAAACUUUCUGAUUUGUCAAUUUUUUCAGAAUUUUCUUCAUCUGAAUUUUUGAAAUUGUGUUUUACUUGUUCUUUAUUUUUAAUUUUCACGUUUAUGUUGUGUAGUAGUAGGAUUUGAUUUCUCAGAUUAAGCAUUUUAAUCUGAGUUGAUCGUUGAAAUUAGGAAGAUCGAUCGCGGAUUGCAUUUUGUUCCUUUUCAAUCUAAGUACUAGUUUUGCAUAUGAGAUCGAUUUAUUAUUACUGGGUUUUUCUUGAAGGGAAGUGCCAUGGACUUCUUCCGUUUUUCUGUUGGGUUUUUGUUCUUAUUGAACUGGGCCUUUCGGACCCAACUUUGGCCCAAUUAUCAUCUGGGUUCAUGGCGAGUCGUGUAUACUAGCCUUUUUUUUUUUUUUUGACAAAAGUCGUGUAUAUUAGCCUUAAUGACUCCAAUUCUGAUGCGUAACAUUUGUGAAUAUAUAUAUGUCGUAGAGUCUUUGGGCCUUGUUGAUAUUACCAAAGUAUAUUUGUGAUUCAUGUUCAGGGCUGCCUUAUGUGCUGUUUAUCCAUGUUUAUGUUAUUAAUGAAUAAUUAAUUAACUAAUAAUAUAGCCUUCUUUAGACUUUACCCCCACAAGGCACAAGCCAGCCAAGAGAAGUGAAUUAGUGAAGAGAGACAAGCAAACUACGCUUGUUGUCUGCAGACUGCAUGCAUGAGUUUAGUAUUCACUUUGAAACCAGAGUUGUUUGUUUGUUUUGUCAAGUAGCUUGACGGCAAGGUUCACACAUUUUAAAUAAGGAGAAAUAGAAAAUUUAUGAUUCGAACUCCGGUCCAUGCAAAUAUUAUCCUUCGUGGCUACAAACUGAGCCACACUUACGGAAUAUUUAGCCUUAUACAUUUUUAGAUAUGUUUAUAAAAAUAAUUAAUAACCAUGAUGUUCGUUCCAAUGAGAGGAUGUAUGGAAUUUUUCUUUCUUUGUCUUCUAUAAUUGAUUAGAGUGGGUUCGCACAUUGAAUUAUCUCCCUACAGUUCUUACUUUCCACUGAUGGGAAUUUAUCCCUCACUUUACGCUUUUCCAGAACUGUGCUGCUUAAAUUGCAUGCUUCAUUUAAAUUAGGAAAAAAAUCUUUAUUCUUGUAUAGUCAAACUCUAAAAAUUUAAAAAAAUACUCUUUCCAAUGCAAAAUCUUCUUCUUUAGUUUCCUUAACUAGUGCCUCCACUAGUUUACAAGACCGCUUUAAAUUAAUAGGCUUGUUGCUUUAGAUGUUUUAUAUUACUUUUCAUUAUUUGUUUUCAUGUAGUUCUUGAUUUCUUUGCUUUCCACUAUGUCAAAUACUCAUGGUAGUCGAAUGCGGUAUAUGUUUAAUUGUUUAUGUUAAUUUGAAGCCUGUAUAUUUUUUCAUGUGGGGAUUUAUAACUUGAUUGUAAUUGUAAAUGACCAUUAUGUAAAAUUUGUUUCUUUUGGGUAAAGCAGGAGGGCAUAAACUGACAGGAUGGCUACCCUUGAAGAAGCUGAAGUAGCUAUGUCCCCUGAUGUAAAAAACAAGCUAAACUGUACUUACUCUCAACCUAGCAACGACAAUCGGCCAAUUGAUUUGGAGGCAACACUUGACACGCCGAUGGAAAACUCUGAAGCUGCACCCGGCGAUCAGCUUGGUGAUUCAAAAGCUACUCUUGACAGGAAGUCUACCCCUGAGGCACCACCCAGCAACGACGUGGUCGAUUCUGAGGCAUCACCAAACAAUGGUGUGGUUAGUUCUGAAAUGCAGACAAGUAAUGAUGUGGUUGAAUCGGAAAAACAGCACAACAAUGAGAGGGUGCUUGCAUCUGAAACACAGCCCACUGAAGCAGAGCACAACAAUGAGGAGGUUGUAUCUGAACCACAUUGCAAUGAUGAAGUGGCCAUGUCUGAAGUACAGCCCAGCAGUGAGGUGGUAAUGUCUGACUCACAUCAGAGCAAUGAGGUGGUCUUUUCUGACACACAACCCAGCACUGAGACUGUCAUGCAUGAAGCAGGGAUCAGCAAUGAUGCAGUUGUGUCUGACACACAGCCCAACAAUGAUGUAAUCAUGUACGAGGCACAAAUCAGCAAUGAUGUGGUUGCAUCUGAAGCUCGGCCUGAGAAUGAAUUAGCUAAUUUAACAGUGGAUCCCAAUAAUCGACUCUCCCAUCAAGAAAUACUUCUUGAUAAUCACCAGUUUGAUAAUCUCCAUACGACUUCUGAAUAUCUACUGCCUCCACCUGAACCACUUCCUGAUUCUGGAUCACCCACUAACUCUGAACCUGUGGCAGACAGUCAUGACGCGGAUGAUAAACCAAUACCCCACAAUCACUUGCAAGAGUAUGAUACACAUCUCAACAAUCAUCUGGACCAUCAUGAGGCACUUGCCAACCAUCAGUUGGCAAACUCUGAAACACUCUCGCCUGAUCAGCUAGCCAAUUCCCAAAUGAUGACUCACUAUGACCUGGGGAAUAGUGAAACACUUCACGACAAUCGGCUGGUAAGUUCUCAAGCACACUAUGAGAUGGUCAAUGCUAACAAUUUCCCCAGCUAUGAAAUAGUUAAUGCUGAAACUUCGCCAAACAAUGAAGAACAUACCCCAGAAACACAGCCAAGUAAGAAGAGGAAAAAAAAGUCUAUUGUCUGGGAACACUUUACCAUAGAAACAGUUAGCCCUGAUUGUAGAAGGGCAUGUUGCAAGGAAUGCAAACAAACUUUUGCCUACAGUACUGGCUCAAAAGUUGCUGGUACCAGCCACCUUAAACGGCACAUUGCAAAGGGAGCAUGUCCAGCUCUUCUGCGUAGUUUAGAUCCUAAUCAGCAUGCUUCAUAUACCCCACGUUCAAGGGGAAGUGGUGCUGGCAAUGCUAACAAUACACCAAAACGACGUUAUAGAACUGCUGGCACACCUUACAUAAUUAUUGAUCAAGAUCGUUGUCGUCAUGAGAUUGCUAGGAUGAUCAUUAUGCAUGAUUACCCCCUUCACAUGGUUGAGCAUCCAGGAUUUGUUGCAUUUGUCCAAAAUCUGCAACCUCAGUUCAACAUGGUGACCUUUAAUACUAUUCAAGGAGAUUGUGUCGCAACUUACCUGACGGAAAAGCAAUGCCUUACGAAAUAUUUUGACGAAUUACCGGGACGUGUUGGUCUGACAUUGGAUAUGUGGACCUCAAGUCAAUCUGUAGGUUAUGUAUUUAUCACGGGACAUUUUGUUGAUAGUGAUUGGAAGUUGCAGAGGAGACUUCUCAAUGUUGUGAUGGAACCAUGCCCUGAUUCUGACUCUGCUCUCAGCCAUGCUGUAUCUGUCUGCAUUUCUGAUUGGAAUUUGGAAGGUAGGCUGUUCACAAUUACUUGUAAUCAGCCACUUUCUAAAGUUGCCCUUGAGAAUCUCAGACCUCUACUCUCUGUGAAGAAUCCACUUAUCUUCGAUGGUCAGUUGCUAAUUGGACAUUGCAUUGCCCGUACUUUAAGCAAUGUUGCAUAUGAUUUGUUGAGCUCAACACAAGGCAUUGUCAAUAAAAUACGGGAAAGUGUAAAAUAUGUGAAGACUUCAGAAUCACAUGAGGAUAAAUUCCUGAACCUUAAGCAGCACCUUCAGGUUCCCAGUGAAAAGAGCCUUUUUAUUGAUGACCAAACCAAAUGGAAUACAACAUAUCAAAUGUUGGUUGCAGCUUCUGAACUGAAGGAAGUGUUUUCCUGUUUAGACACUUCUGAUCCUGAUUACAAAGGAACCC
Molecule: long non-coding RNA, 15251 nt
Filed under: Medicago truncatula (barrel medic)
Lineage: Eukaryota; Viridiplantae; Streptophyta; Magnoliopsida; Fabales; Fabaceae
Description: long non-coding RNA (MTRU_LNC005587)
Source: RNAcentral